Molecule: ribosomal RNA, 253 nt
Filed under: uncultured bacterium
Lineage: Bacteria
Description: partial 16S ribosomal RNA
Rfam family: Bacterial small subunit ribosomal RNA
Source: RNAcentral
GACGAACCGUGCGAACGUUGUUCGGAAUCACUGGGCUUAAAGGGCGCGUAGGCGGGCAUUCAAGUCCGGGGUGAAAGCCCCCAGCUUAACUGGGGAAGGGCCUUGGAAACUGGAUGUCUCGAGGGAGGUAGGGGCCUGUGGAACUUCGGGUGGAGCGGUGAAAUGCGUAGAUAUCUGGAGGAACACCGGUGGCGAAGGCGGCAUCCUGGACCAAUAUUGACGCUGAGGAGCGGAAGCCAGGGGAGCAAACGGG